Molecule: ribosomal RNA, 156 nt
Filed under: uncultured freshwater diatom
Lineage: Eukaryota; Bacillariophyta
Description: 5.8S ribosomal RNA
Rfam family: 5.8S ribosomal RNA
About the family: 5.8S ribosomal RNA (5.8S rRNA) is a component of the large subunit of the eukaryotic ribosome. It is transcribed by RNA polymerase I as part of the 45S precursor that also contains 18S and 28S rRNA. Functionally, it is thought that 5.8S rRNA may be involved in ribosome translocation.
Source: RNAcentral
ACAACUUUCAGCAAUGGAUGUCUAGGUUGCCACAUCGAUGAAGAACGCAGCGAAAUGCGAUACGUAACGCGAAUUGCAAGACCUUGUGAAUCAUUAAAAUUUUGAACGCACAUUGUGCUCCCGGGAAUCUCCUGGAAGCAUGCUUGUCUGAGUGUC